UUUAAAUUGAGAGUUUGAUCCUGGCUCAGGAUGAACGCUGGCGGCGUGCCUAAUACAUGCAAGUCGUACGCUAGCCGCUGAAUUGAUCCUUCGGGUGAAGUGAGGCAAUGACUAGAGUGGCGAACUGGUGAGUAACACGUAAGAAACCUGCCCUUUAGUGGGGGAUAACAUUUGGAAACAGAUGCUAAUACCGCGUAACAACAAAUCACACAUGUGAUCUGUUUGAAAGGUCCUUUUGGAUCGCUAGAGGAUGGUCU
Molecule: ribosomal RNA, 257 nt
Filed under: Oenococcus oeni
Lineage: Bacteria; Bacillati; Bacillota; Bacilli; Lactobacillales; Lactobacillaceae
Description: partial 16S ribosomal RNA
Rfam family: Bacterial small subunit ribosomal RNA
Source: RNAcentral